This is a long non-coding RNA of Thalassophryne amazonica, 102 nucleotides long. RefSeq lists it as uncharacterized. The transcript is spliced from 3 exons. The record is from RefSeq and is a predicted model, not a curated record. Lineage: Eukaryota; Metazoa; Chordata; Actinopteri; Batrachoidiformes; Batrachoididae.
GUGACAAACUGUAGUUGACAUUUCACAUCUUCCUUUGAUGAAAAUACUUCUCUGUGCCACUGUACCAUGAAGCUGUCAUGGCUGGUGAUGCUAAAUUCAAAG